AUGUUCCUGGAAUGUUCGUAAUAAACCUAUUAUUUUGAACCUACAGUAGACUUACGGGAACUCGAUUGUUUUUACCUGGAACACAGGCCUCAAGCUAAUUCCGACAUCGGUUUCGACCGGAUGCAACGGCAGAGGAAGUAAGAAGGGCAAAGCAGGGUACCCACCUGGCAUUUGGCUAGGUGUCAAAAUGUAGGGAAACGGCAUUUCGGGACAUGA
RNAcentral lists this non-coding RNA (216 nucleotides) under Ruminiclostridium sp. Its description in RNAcentral is "6S RNA". It matches the Rfam family "6S / SsrS RNA". From Rfam's summary of the family: E. coli 6S RNA was the first non coding RNA to be sequenced, but its function was unknown until recently. It consists of 184 nucleotides that fold into an extended hairpin structure with a large single-stranded internal bulge. The 6S RNA specifically associates with RNA polymerase holoenzyme containing the sigma70 specificity factor. Lineage: Bacteria; Bacillati; Bacillota; Clostridia; Eubacteriales; Oscillospiraceae. The record is from RNAcentral.